GCUCCAAUCUCUUCAACUUAGCAGGAUCGACUGGUGCUUUCUUGAACUCCGGAGGUGGUGGCAUCUUUGGUGGUAAAGGAGGUGGCAUAGGUGGUGGUGUUGGUUUUAGCAAACCUGAGCCAUAAUUCACUGUACUAUUUAUUAAUCACUGCACGAUAUGAAUAAAAGAAAAAGAUAAAAAAAUGAAAUAAGUUUAUGUAGGAGAAUAUGAGAUUGCCACUGAACUAAGCGAAAUUCAAUUUAUCAAUUGAACUCAGGUGUUUAUAGUGAACUAAGUUCGCGUCUUAGCUGUUGUUCAGUCUUACUGAAGAUUCGAACCACUAUUUGCAUUCGCACCUGAUGAACUCGCGACGCACGCGGAACUACCAAUACUAUUUUGGGUCGCAUUUAGACCACAAGUAGUCUAGCGCACAAGAGAUCAAAGAGUAAAGAUCGUUAGGUGAUGCACUUGAGGACGGCUUGCAUCCCAUUACAGUAAAUGUGCCUGCACCUAAUUUCUAAUUGUAAUUUGUGAUAGUGAGCACAGAUAGUCAAUAUCAUUAGAUAUUUUUUUAAGAUAGCAUUCACCGAAUACUUCAAUAUUUGAAUUCCUUAUAAUAAUAUGUAUUUUGCUUCUUUGGUGUUUUACCAAAAUUGAAAUAAUAAAAAAUUGAAAAUAAGAAAAACACUGACUCUUAUCAAAAAAAUUAUCGAAAACACAGUAGCACAAAAAGAAAAUCUGUUGCCAAACAGACGAGAAUAUUGUGGUUGACAGUAUUGCCUUUGUUUAAUUGUAUACAGAUUCUUCUUCGGAAACUUUAUCAUUCACUUCAAUAAAUCUUUAAAUGAGCUAGUGAGCCUUCAAUAGACCAAA
This is a long non-coding RNA of Bombyx mori (domestic silkworm), 853 nucleotides long. RefSeq lists it as uncharacterized. The transcript has 2 exons. NCBI's taxonomy places the organism in Eukaryota, Metazoa, Arthropoda, Insecta, Lepidoptera, Bombycidae. The record is from RefSeq and is a predicted model, not a curated record.